UAAUCCUGGAAAUGACUGGAACCAUACUGGGAGUGACUCCGGGUCCUAUUGGAUCAUCCUGAGAGCCACUGGGAUUACAGUGGGUGUGAAUGGAACUGGACUGGGGGUUACUGGGAGCUACUGGGCCCAUGUUGGGAGGAAAAUGGGGACACAUUGGGAGCAACUGAGAACAACUGGAAGGUACUGGAACCAUGCUGUGGGGACUGAGACCACAACUGGGGCCACUGGGAUCAUACUGGGAGCAGCCGGGACCACACUUUGGGACACUGACAGAAACUGGGAUUGUCCUGGAGGGGCAAAUGGAUUCAUACGGGGAGGAACUGGGAACAACUGGAACUACUCUGGAAGCAACUGGGUUCAUACUGGGACCACAGUGGGAGCAGCUGGAUCCAUGGUGGGUGAGACUGGGAUCACACUGAGGGUGACUGGAAUCAUACUGGCAUUGACUGGGAGUGGCUGUGAGCAACUGGAAUCACACUGAAAGCAACUGGGAGGAGGUGGGAGUGACUGGGAUCAUACUGGGAGAGACAGGGAGCCCUGGGGAUCAUACUGGAGGCUCCUGGGGUCAUGCUGGCAUUGACACGGAGCAGCUGGGAUCACACUGGG
Corvus hawaiiensis (hawaiian crow) is the source of this 606-nucleotide long non-coding RNA. RefSeq lists it as uncharacterized. The transcript has 2 exons. Lineage: Eukaryota; Metazoa; Chordata; Aves; Passeriformes; Corvidae. The record is from RefSeq and is a predicted model, not a curated record.